UGAUGCUAAAUUAUUGAUGCCAAAAGGUGGU
This 31-nucleotide non-coding RNA is filed under the name Homo sapiens (human). Lineage: Eukaryota; Metazoa; Chordata; Mammalia; Primates; Hominidae. The record is from RNAcentral.